RNAcentral lists this ribosomal RNA (1428 nucleotides) under uncultured organism. Its description in RNAcentral is "16S ribosomal RNA". It matches the Rfam family "Bacterial small subunit ribosomal RNA". The record is from RNAcentral.
CAGGCUUAACACAUGCAAGUCGAGGGGCAGCAGGAUCUAGCAAUAGAUUGCUGGCGACCGGCGCACGGGUGAGUAACACGUAUCCAACCUGCCGAUAACUCGGGGAUAGCCUUUCGAAAGAAAGAUUAAUACCCGAUAGUAUAAUCAGACCGCAUGGUUUGAUUAUUAAAGAAUUUCGGUUAUCGAUGGGGAUGCGUUCCAUUAGGCAGUUGGUGAGGUAACGGCUCACCAAACCUUCGAUGGAUAGGGGUUCUGAGAGGAAGGUCCCCCACAUUGGAACUGAGACACGGUCCAAACUCCUACGGGAGGCAGCAGUGAGGAAUAUUGGUCAAUGGACGCGAGUCUGAACCAGCCAAGUAGCGUGAAGGAUGACUGCCCUAUGGGUUGUAAACUUCUUUUAUAUGGGAAUAAAGUUUUCCACGUGUGGAAUUUUGUAUGUACCAUAUGAAUAAGGAUCGGCUAACUCCGUGCCAGCAGCCGCGGUAAUACGGAGGAUCCGAGCGUUAUCCGGAUUUAUUGGGUUUAAAGGGAGCGUAGGUGGACAGUUAAGUCAGUUGUGAAAGUUUGCGGCUCAACCGUAAAAUUGCAGUUGAUACUGGCUGUCUUGAGUACAGUAGAGGUGGGCGGAAUUCGUGGUGUAGCGGUGAAAUGCUUAGAUAUCACGAAGAACUCCGAUUGCGAAGGCAGCUCACUGGACUGCAACUGACACUGAUGCUCGAAAGUGUGGGUAUCAAACAGGAUUAGAUACCCUGGUAGUCCACACAGUAAACGAUGAAUACUCGCUGUUUGCGAUAUACAGUAAGCGGCCAAGCGAAAGCAUUAAGUAUUCCACCUGGGGAGUACGCCGGCAACGGUGAAACUCAAAGGAAUUGACGGGGGCCCGCACAAGCGGAGGAACAUGUGGUUUAAUUCGAUGAUACGCGAGGAACCUUACCCGGGCUUAAAUUGCAUUUGAAUAUAUUGGAAACAGUAUAGCCGUAAGGCAAAUGUGAAGGUGCUGCAUGGUUGUCGUCAGCUCGUGCCGUGAGGUGUCGGCUUAAGUGCCAUAACGAGCGCAACCCUUAUCUUUAGUUACUAACAGGUCAUGCUGAGGACUCUAGAGAGACUGCCGUCGUAAGAUGUGAGGAAGGUGGGGAUGACGUCAAAUCAGCACGGCCCUUACGUCCGGGGCUACACACGUGUUACAAUGGGGGGUACAGAAGGCAGCUACCUGGUGACAGGAUGCUAAUCCCAAAAGCCUCUCUCAGUUCGGAUCGAAGUCUGCAACCCGACUUCGUGAAGCUGGAUUCGCUAGUAAUCGCGCAUCAGCCAUGGCGCGGUGAAUACGUUCCCGGGCCUUGUACACACCGCCCGUCAAGCCAUGAAAGCCGGGGGUACCUGAAGUACGUAACCGCAAGGAGCGUCCUAGGGUAAAACUGGUAAUUGGGG